Molecule: ribosomal RNA, 278 nt
Filed under: Glomeromycota sp.
Lineage: Eukaryota; Fungi; Glomeromycota
Description: partial small subunit ribosomal RNA
Rfam family: Eukaryotic small subunit ribosomal RNA
Source: RNAcentral
AGCAGCCGCGGUAAUUCCAGCUCCAAUAGCGUAUAUUAAAGUUGUUGCAGUUAAAAAGCUCGUAGUUGAAUUUCGGGAUUAGUGCGCCGGUCGUGCCUUCGGUAUGUACUGGUGUUACUGGUUCCUACCUUCUGACGAACCGUCAUGUCAUUAAUUUGGUGUGGCGAGGAAUCAGGACUGUUACUUUGAAAAAAUUAGAGUGUUUAAAGCAGGCUCGCGCUUGAAUACAUUAGCAUGGAAUAAUGAAAUAGGACGUUCGAUCCUAUUUUGUUGGUUUU